Molecule: ribosomal RNA, 533 nt
Filed under: uncultured Acinetobacter sp.
Lineage: Bacteria; Pseudomonadati; Pseudomonadota; Gammaproteobacteria; Moraxellales; Moraxellaceae
Description: bacterial SSU rRNA
Rfam family: Bacterial small subunit ribosomal RNA
Source: RNAcentral
AAGGUAGCUUGCUACUGGACCUAGCGGCGGACGGGUGAGUAAUACUUAGGAAUCUGCCUAUUAGUGGGGGACAACGUUCCGAAAGGAGCGCUGAUACCGCAUACGCCCUACGGGGGAAAGCAGGGGAUCUUCGGACCUUGCGCUAAUAGAUGAGCCUAAGUCGGAUUAGCUAGUUGGGGGGGUAAAGGCCUACCAAGGCGACGAUCUGUACCGGGUUUGAGAGGAUGAUCCGCCACACUGGGACUGAGACACGGCCCAUACUCCUACGGGAGGCAGCAGUGGGGAAUAUUGGACAAUGGGCGCAAGCCUGAUCCAUCCAUGCCGCGUGUGUGAAGAAGGCCUUAUGGUUGUAAAGCACUUUAAGCGAGGAGGAGGCUUACCUAGCUAAUACCUAGGAUAAGUGGACGUUACUCGCAGAAUAAGCACCGGCUAACUCUGUGCCAGCAGCCGCGGUAAUACAGAGGGUGCAAGCGUUAAUCGGAAUUACUGGGCGUAAAGCGCGCGUAGGUGGCCAUUUAAGUCAAAUGUGAAAU